This is a long non-coding RNA of Equus caballus (horse), 1725 nucleotides long. RefSeq lists it as uncharacterized. Lineage: Eukaryota; Metazoa; Chordata; Mammalia; Perissodactyla; Equidae. The record is from RefSeq and is a predicted model, not a curated record.
CGCCGCCAACCCGGAAGGAGCCCCGGGGGGCCGGCGCGCCCGCCAGGAGGCCUGCCAGGUGCCCACCUGAGCCCGGCGCUCCGCGCGCCUAGCCCUUUGUGGGGCGGGGUGUCAGGUCGGAGGUGCCCUCCCACUUGUUGCAGACUGGGGAACUGAGGCCGGGGCGUGGGCUCAGAGGCAGUCACGGCCUGAAGCCGCCACGCCUGAGCUAGGAUGCGGGGGCCGUCCUCCCCUCUUGGGGAUCCAGUCCCCAAGGCGGGAGAGCACCACCCCUCCAUGCAACAAAGACUUCCUGAGCAGUGAGCGCCACUGUGUGCAGGUCGCCUCACCUCCGAUUCACAUCCUGUCUUGGUUUAAUCUUCAAACCACUUUGGGCAAGAUGAGUGAGGCACAGAGAGGAAAUGUCAUCUACCUAAAGCACUCCAGCAGUGGUUGGAAGAGUCAGGAUUUGAACCCAGAUCUCCUGGCUUCAGAGGGAGUAAGCUCUUAAGAAGAAUUAAGGAAGAGUGCAGACAGCAUGUUGGUCUGGGCCUGCGUUUCCCUAACUGUAACAAGGCUAAUCUGUCUCAAAGAAAUUCACCAGCAAGCCCAUCUCAUUUGUUUGCCACCAGCCAUUAAAAAUAUUUUCCUUCAGAGAAGGAAAGAGAUUCUGGGAAAGAGAAGGAAUGCUCGGAGAAGAUAAACACUCACGUGAAGCUCGCCUUUAAGGUGUCAUCACAUUGCAACAUCCACAGCAGUGUGAGGGCUGAUCGCUGUGGGUGCAAGCCGAAGUUAGCAAGGGGGAGGACGGUGGGAAAGAGAGGGGCUCUGGGGAAGUCUCUGGAAUAACUUCUGUGCGGCAUGCCUUUCUCCCCCACCUCUCUGUCCUGCACUGAGUCUCUGGAGUGCCGCAGCCUUUGCAGUCGAGUAACAAACACACUGCUGACGGUGAGGGUAGCGGCCUCUGGAACUUACACAACUGUCUAAGUGUGGACGAUCCGUUCCAGAAGAGAGGUGACUACCAAGCAAACUUCUCAAACAAGUUAAAAUCAUUGUCAGACUGCAGUGAGCAUCAGCACCAUUCAGGAAGCUUCGCUGGGAUUCUGACUUGGCAGGUCUGGGGCGGGGCCCAGGAAGCUGCAUUCUGAACAAGCACACCAGGAACUCUGAGGCAAGCGAUCCAGGCACCCCUCUGAGGAGCACGGCUGUGGUGGUGUUCUUUUCUUGGGCUGGUCUGUGCUCCCUUUUCUCCCAGCCAUAACCGGCUGGGGCAGAGAGACCUCACCUGGCAAACCAUCUCCUGAGAAUUCGGAACUGGGGCUCACAGAACCAGCAGUGCGCGUGCUGGAACCAGCCAGAUCAGAAGCUUGGCUCAUAGAUUCUUUGGCUUCUGAAGCUGCCCCCUCUCUUGGCUCUCCCAGCCCCGACUCUGGUCCUGCCCAGGCUCCUCCUAAUCCACCUGUGUCCUGAGACACUGUCCUUAGCAGCCUUCUCUGGUGACCCCAGACACAUCCUGGGAUGUCAUCCAUGCCCACAUGUCCAAGGACUGUGCUCCCCAGGCCUGAGCCUCUGCAGGUCUCAGGCUGCCUGCCCAAUGCCUACUGGACAGCUCUGCCUUGAUGUCCUACAGGGAACUCACUUAACUUAGCUCAAAUGGAACCCAGCAUUUUUCCUCUCAGACAUGGCACCAUUUAUGUUUUGUUUGUUUGUUUUUGGUGAGGAAGAUUGGCCCUAACAUGUUAGAUG